UUAACGGCCGCAGUACUUUGACUGUGCUAAGGUAGCAUAAUCACUUGUCUUUUAAUUGGAGACUGGAAUGAAAGGAUGUAUGGAUCAUAGCUGUCUCCUGCAACUUAUACAAAAUUACUUAAAGGGUGAAAAUUCCCUUAAUAUUACAUUAGACGAGAAGACCCUUAAAAUUAUAACAAAAAUACAACUAACUAUUGAGUGUUUGUUGGGGCAACAGAGUAUCUAAAAACAUACUUAUAAGCAUAUACUCACAACCAAAUAAUAGUAGCAAUGAAAUUACUCUAGGGAUAACAGCAUAAUUUAUUAUAAGAUUGGGACCUCGAUGUUGGACUCAG
Molecule: ribosomal RNA, 335 nt
Filed under: Zonites algirus
Lineage: Eukaryota; Metazoa; Mollusca; Gastropoda; Stylommatophora; Zonitidae
Description: partial 16S ribosomal RNA
Rfam family: Bacterial large subunit ribosomal RNA
Source: RNAcentral